CCCCAGAGCCUGUAGGAAGGCAGCUAAAGCGAUAGCUCCCGGUGGGCCAUCCGUCUCUUCUGGGGGCUCGUGACUGAAAUGUGUCGGGAAUCCAGUGGUGACCAGUACGGAGUGCGCGUGAGACAGUGACAGAGCUGCCAGCAGUAACUCAUCUUUAAGUAGCAGGGUCUCUCACUGAACCUGGACCUCACUGACUUGGCUCGGCUCGGCUGACUGGCCAGUGAGCCUCAAGGAUCCCCUUGUCUGUCUUCUUAGUCCUGGAAUUCCAGGCACCCGCUGCUGUGCCCUGGUUCUUGUGUGUGUGCUGGGGACUGAACCCAGCUCCCCCUCCUGCUGACCCGGCAAGCAUUUAACUAACUGAGCUAUGUCCCCAGGCUCCAGGAUUCGGAUUAAAGAUGGUUUUUUUCCUAGACGGAAUCAGCACAUCAGACAGUCAUCAAUCUGCCUCCUCGGGGACUCAUGCUUCAAGACCCGUACCAGUCUGCAGGAGCGCCGAUGGGAGGCAGGCGUUGCGUCUGACCUCUCCGCUCAUCCUUACAAAGCGAUGGAUGAACAAGGCAGCCGUAAAUCUGCUGUCUGCGCCUUCUUUUAAACUCAGAGCUAAUUACAGAGUUAAUAAUUCAUCUUUCCUCGUGACACUAUGUUAAAUGGGGGAGCCAUCACCUUGGGACUGUCUGGGAGGGAGAAACCAUUAUAGGAAAAAAUUAAAUAUGUACUCAGG
RNAcentral lists this long non-coding RNA (721 nucleotides) under Rattus norvegicus (Norway rat). RNAcentral's name for it is "long non-coding RNA NONRATT025273". The record is from RNAcentral. Lineage: Eukaryota; Metazoa; Chordata; Mammalia; Rodentia; Muridae.